GAUGAGAACGUAGCGAAAUGCGAUAAGUAAUGUGAAUUGCAGAAUUCAGUGAAUCAUCGAAUCUUUGAACGCACAUUGCGCCCAUUAGUAUUCUAGUGGGCACGCCUGUUCGAGCGUCAUUAAGUCCACUUAAGCCCUGCUUAGUGUUGGGAGACUGCUCCAGCGGUGCUACCCUGUAGCUACCCUGCAGCUCCUCAAAGACAGCGGCGGAGUUGUGGUAUCCUCUGAGCUUAGUAACUUGUUCUAGCUUUCGAGUACACCACUUCCCCUGCCGUAAAACCCUUAAUUUUUAAUGGUUGACCUCGGAUCAGGUAGGAAUACCCGCUGAACUUAAGCAUAUCAAUAAGCGGAGGA
This 354-nucleotide unclassified non-coding RNA is filed under the name soil metagenome. Its description in RNAcentral is "partial contains 5.8S ribosomal RNA, internal transcribed spacer 2, and large subunit ribosomal RNA". The stretch from base 5 to 119 matches the Rfam family "5.8S ribosomal RNA", at positions 40 to 154 of the family's 154-position model. The record is from RNAcentral.